Molecule: ribosomal RNA, 533 nt
Filed under: Arsenophonus endosymbiont of Trialeurodes vaporariorum
Lineage: Bacteria; Pseudomonadati; Pseudomonadota; Gammaproteobacteria; Enterobacterales; Morganellaceae
Description: partial 23S ribosomal RNA
Rfam family: Bacterial large subunit ribosomal RNA
Source: RNAcentral
CGAAGCGAACCGGGGGAACUGAAACAUCUCAGUACCCCGAGGAAAAUAAAUCAACCGAGAUUCCCCCAGUAGCGGCGAGCAGACGGGGAGCAGCCCAGAGUCAGCAUCAAUAUUUACCGCAGGAGAAGGGUCUAGAAAAACCGGCAAUAAAGGGUGAUAGCCCCGUAUCUGAAGCGGUAAGUGUUGUGAACUCGAAGAGUAAGGCAGGACACGUGUUAUCCUGUCUGAAUAUGGGGGACCAUCCUCCAAGGCUAAAUACUCCUGACUGACCAAUAGUGAACCAGUACCGCGAGGGAAAGGCGAAAAGAACCCCGGCAAGGGGAGUGAAAUAGAACCUGAAACCGUGUACGUACAAGCAGUGGGAGCACCCGAAAGGUUGUGAAUGCGUACCUUUUGUAUAAGGGGUCAGCGACUUAUAUUCUGUAGCAAGGUUAACCGCAUAGGGGAGCCGUAGGGAAACCGAAUCUUAACUGGGCGUUAAGUUGUAGGGUAUAGACCCGGAACCCAAUGAUCUAGCCACGGGUAAGUUGAAG